RNAcentral lists this ribosomal RNA (887 nucleotides) under uncultured bacterium. RNAcentral's name for it is "bacterial SSU rRNA". It matches the Rfam family "Bacterial small subunit ribosomal RNA", at positions 55 to 925 of the family's 1533-position model. The record is from RNAcentral.
AUGCAAGUCGAACGGAAGUCGUUAUAAAAGGAGAGAAGAUUUAUCGGAUUGAAUUUUAUAACAAUGGCUUUAGUGGCGGACUGGUGAGUAACGCGUAAGGAACCUACCUAUUAGAGGGGAACAACAAUGAGAAAUCAUUGCUAAUACCGCAUAUGCCAUAACUACCGCAUGGUAGAAGUGGGAAAGGAGUAAUUCGCUGAUAGAUGGCCUUGCGUCUGAUUAGUUAGUUGGUGGGGUAACGGCCUACCAAGACGACGAUCAGUAGCCGGACUGAGAGGUUGAACGGCCACAUUGGGACUGAGAUACGGCCCAGACUCCUACGGGAGGCAGCAGUCGGGAAUAUUGCGCAAUGGAGGAAACUCUGACGCAGUGACGCCGCGUGCAGGAAGAAGGUUUUCGGAUUGUAAACUGCUUUAGACAGGGAAGAGAAAGGACAGUACCUGUAGAAUAAGCUCCGGCUAACUACGUGCCAGCAGCCGCGGUAAUACGUAGGGAGCGAGCGUUAUCCGGAUUUAUUGGGUGUAAAGGGUGCGUAGACGGGAAUACAAGUUAGUUGUGAAAUACCUCGGCUUAACUGAGGAACUGCAACUAAAACUAUAUUUCUUGAGUACAGGAGAGGUAAGUGGAAUUCCUAGUGUAGCGGUGAAAUGCGUAGAUAUUAGGAGGAACACCAGUGGCGAAGGCGACUUACUGGACUGAAACUGACGUUGAGGCACGAAAGUGUAGGGAGCAAACAGGAUUAGAUACCCUGGUAGUCCACACCGUAAACGAUGGAUACUAGGUGUAGGAGAUAUUAAGUCUUCUGUGCCGUCGCAAACGCAGUAAGUAUCCCACCUGGGGAGUACGGCCGCAAGGUUGAAACUCAAAGGAAUUGACGGGGGCCCGCA